Molecule: ribosomal RNA, 506 nt
Filed under: uncultured bacterium
Lineage: Bacteria
Description: partial 16S ribosomal RNA
Rfam family: Bacterial small subunit ribosomal RNA
Source: RNAcentral
AGUGAACGCUGGCGGUAGGCCUAACACAUGCAAGUCGAACGGCAGCACAGGAGAGCUUGCUCUCUGGGUGGCGAGUGGCGGACGGGUGAGGAAUACAUCGGAAUCUACUCUGUCGUGGGGGAUAACGUAGGGAAACUCACGCUAAUACCGCAUACGACCUACGGGUGAAAGCAGGGGACCUUCGGGCCUUGCGCGAUUGAAUGAGCCGAUGUCGGAUUAGCUAGUUGGCGGGGUAAAGGCCCACCAAGGCGACGAUCCGUAGCUGGUCUGGGAGGAUGAUCAGCCAGACUGGAACUGAGACACGGUCCAGACUCCUACGGGAGGCAGAAGUGGGGAAUAUUGGACAAUGGGCGCAAGCCUGAUCCAGCCAUACCGCGUGGGUGAAGAAGGCCUUCGGGUUGUAAAGCCCUUUUGUUGGGAAAGAAAAGCAGCCAGUUAAUACCUGGUUGUUCUGACGGUACCCAAAGAAUAAGCACCGGCUAACUUCGUGCCAGCAGCCGCCGUAA